CAGCCGCCACGGUAAUACGAAGGGUGCAAGCGUUACUCGGAAUUACUGGGCGUAAAGCGUGCGUAGGUGGUGGUUUAAGUCCGUUGUGAAAGCCCUGGGCUCAACCUGGGAAUUGCAGUGGAUACUGGGUCACUAGAGUGUGGUAGAGGAUAGUGGAAUUUCCGGUGUAGCAGUGAAAUGCGUAGAGAUCGGAAGGAACAUCUGUGGCGAAGGCGGCCAUCUGGGACAACACUGACGCUGAGGCACGAAAGCGUGGGGAGCAAACAGGAUUAGAUACCCGCGUAGUCCCUGUCUCUUAUAC
This 301-nucleotide ribosomal RNA is filed under the name uncultured bacterium. RNAcentral describes it as "partial 16S ribosomal RNA". It matches the Rfam family "Bacterial small subunit ribosomal RNA", at positions 509 to 807 of the family's 1533-position model. The record is from RNAcentral.